RNAcentral lists this microRNA (22 nucleotides) under Gadus morhua (Atlantic cod). Its description in RNAcentral is "gmo-miR-11280-3p". Lineage: Eukaryota; Metazoa; Chordata; Actinopteri; Gadiformes; Gadidae. The record is from miRBase by way of RNAcentral.
GAACACGGAUCAUAACUCACGU